Papaver somniferum (opium poppy) is the source of this 381-nucleotide long non-coding RNA. RefSeq lists it as uncharacterized. The record is from RefSeq and is a predicted model, not a curated record. The transcript has 3 exons. NCBI's taxonomy places the organism in Eukaryota, Viridiplantae, Streptophyta, Magnoliopsida, Ranunculales, Papaveraceae.
UAUUAGUACAUUUGCAGGUUACAUUUUCAGAUUGUUGAGUUCCUUACAUAUAGCAUUAAGUUGUAAACUUGAAUGCAUAAUUCUGUUUUUUGCAGCAAUGAAGACUUCAUCUGAGACCCAUUUAAAACCGUCACAAUCUGUACAAGUGAGGUUUGAUUUUGCAGUGGGCAGUUUUUGAAGCAAUGACCAGAUUCUCCGCAAGCGUAACAACCAUUCUCUACUGGUAAUUUCACCAUCUUGCAUUUGACAGGAUCGAUGGCAUCGUCAAACCAUUCAAAGUACUGACAGGGCCUAAUUUAUAUGAAUGAAGCUGAAUCUGACCGUUACAAAUCCAACCGUUACAAAUCCGACCGUUGCAAUGAGUCACCGAGUUGACUCGAU